GUAUGCUUCACUUUUCUAUUUCCUAGCCAAUAAAUCUCAUGUUUCUUCUGGAAAGUACAGUGAAGGCUAUCUAUGUUACUUUCAGUGUUGUGAGUGCUGAAGCAGCCAGUGCAGUGACACAUGUGUAUGUAUGUGUGUGUUUAUCUCUGACAAAAGAUACAGCAGAAAUCCAAGUAAGAACAGUAGGAUCCAUCAUUUUACUGUAUAGUCACCAAGUCCUUCUCCUAUUAGUUGUGAUGAAAGUUGUGUUUGCUUAUAAAUUUUAGUUCCAAGAGCUCUGGGAGGUCACAACUGAAUCAAUUCCUCUCUUCUACAAAGAGCUCAUUAAUUUCCCUUGCUACUAGUCCUGUUGGAGACCAAGGCAUAAUGGGGUUAACUCCAUGUUUAUAACUGUGGAUGGUGUAUUCAGGGAUGUAGAUGAGAUCUGAUGCUGAUCUGGAGCAGUGGUGCUGGGGAAAGUGGCAGAGCCCUCUUCCUCCUGGAUGCACCAGUAACACUGGUAUAGAUUUUAUUGGGUCUUGGCAUUGCUGGGACUCUAUUUAUCUUCAGAAAUUUGCUUCAAACGGAGAAAUUUGCUGAGAUAUGUUAAUAGAAAACAAGCAGAAAUGAAGAGCAAGGUCCCUUGCUCUUAAGCAAACAUCUUGCCUCUCCAUUGUGGGGCCUUGCUGGCAAGACAUGCUGUGUUUCAAAGGGAUGAAAUGAUUGUGUUAACCUGAACGUUUCUUCAGUGACCUCACUGUGGCUGUUGCCAUGCUUACCUGCAAAUACAAAAACAAACAGAUGGACUGGUUCUCAGCCAAGCACUCAGGAAAGAUCUGUGCUUGCCCAGGAAUUUGCCUCGCCUCUCAGUAGUACAGAAGACACUUGAAUCAUACACAGAUCCUGCCAGUCGUGUGCCAAAUGGACUCCCGUUUUCCAAAGGACUUAACAGCUGAAAUGAAAUUGGGAAGGAAAUUUAGGCUCUAAAGCCUGUGAUGUUUUGCUUCUCCUACUGUACAGUGAAUGCCACUAGAAUUUGGGAUGCCUUUGUCCAGGUUUCUCAGCUCAUACUGAUGUCUUGUGGAAUGGAGGGCACCCACACUUCAUUCAGUCUUCAGGAAACUCCUGCAUCUACAGAUAAAGGUAUAUAUGUGUGCUGGGAUAUUAUACAACAGCUGUUUUUGAAGGGACAGAUCUACCCAAUACAUUUCUGUGGAAACCAAGGAUGCAUUGGUGUAUGUGGACUAUGGCCAGGAAAGAAACAGGAUCCAGUUUGCCUUAUUACAUCUCAUGGAUUGAAGCCUAAGGCUCUGUAAGUGAGUUGCCCAAAACUGAAGGACCCUUACAAGCUUUGACAACCAACAACCUGCAUUAACAAAUGAUGUGGAUAUUUCAUUUGAAGUGGGAAGAAUAAAGAACAUUGCUUUAAGUCA
RNAcentral lists this long non-coding RNA (1412 nucleotides) under Phasianus colchicus (ring-necked pheasant). RNAcentral describes it as "lncRNA (ENSPCLG00000005231.1)". Lineage: Eukaryota; Metazoa; Chordata; Aves; Galliformes; Phasianidae. The record is from RNAcentral.